CUCAAUUCCAUUACACAUUGUAAAAUAAGUCAAUAACAUUAAGCAAAGAAGCAAUUUGCGGUAAACAAACUAGAUAGAAGAUAAAAUAGACGUAAAUUACUGCAAGAGCAAGUUUAGAAAAUAAAAUUCAUGGUUCCAUGAAAUUCUAUUAUAUGGUUUCUUAUAUGUCUGAAAUCCAAGGAUCGUUCAGUUUUGCUCAUUCUACUUGGUUUAUCACCGAGUUCUUCACUUGGUUCUCUCCAGCAUAACUAUCAGGCAUUCAAUAGUAGUGUAAUAUAUUGCCAGUAGACUGGAAAGCUGCCUGUUUGGUUUAAGGUAGUUUGAAGAAACCACAAGCUUGUUAAUUAAUCUGGUAUGAAUAGGAUUACAAACUAAAAAGGUGUAUCAGGGCGCAGCCAUUUGCCCCCACUGGAUU
This 415-nucleotide long non-coding RNA is filed under the name Olea europaea subsp. europaea. The record is from RNAcentral. Lineage: Eukaryota; Viridiplantae; Streptophyta; Magnoliopsida; Lamiales; Oleaceae.